Molecule: unclassified non-coding RNA, 143 nt
Filed under: uncultured Ascomycota
Lineage: Eukaryota; Fungi; Ascomycota
Description: sequence contains ITS1
Source: RNAcentral
CCGAGUGAGGGCCCCCGGCCCGACCUCCAACCCUUUGUUGACCAAACACCUGUUGCCUCGGGGGUGACCCGGCCUCUGCGCCGGCCCCCGGCGGACCACUUUAACGCUGUUUCUAUGCGUCGGAGUACUUGAUGAAUCAAUCA